Molecule: long non-coding RNA, 26663 nt
Filed under: Brachypodium distachyon (stiff brome)
Lineage: Eukaryota; Viridiplantae; Streptophyta; Magnoliopsida; Poales; Poaceae
Description: long non-coding RNA (BDIS_LNC001486)
Rfam family: MIR1120/MIR1122 microRNA precursor family (bases 21395-21519)
Source: RNAcentral
AGUAGAAAACUGAAAUGAAACCGUGUUCUAAAAAGCCUGAAAUGAAACCUUAUUCUAAAAAACCCUGAAAUGAAACCUUGUUAAAAAACUGAAAUGAAACUUUUUUUGCGAGGACAAAUGAAACCUUGCUCUGAAAAAAAAACUAAAACGAAACCAUAUAGUUACUUAGAGGGGAAUAUUCCUCCAAUAACCAUAUAAUAACUUAACAAAGUAAAUGAGGAAUCAUUUGGUCCUAAGUGAAACCGGUGGUUUCUAAAAUAUAGAAAACUAGGACCGCUUCAGUAGGCACUACACCACACGAAUUGGCAGUUACGGCAUAAUCCAUUGUAGCUAGUCAUAUAACGCGCACACAAGGUAAGUUAUUGAGGAAACAACAUGUUUGUGGUAAACUUCAAAAUUUAGUCCCAAUGCAUAGCAUCUUUAAUAAUAUAACUAUGGAUUUGUAUUUCCAACGAUCCAGAAGCCGAGAGGUUUUCCAUUCCUUCUUAAGAAAAUGGAGCGUUGACAACGCAAGACACUCACGGUAGAAAAAUCAUAUGAUUUCAGAUUUAGACGCUACAGUAGUGUGCUGAUAAGCCGACGUAAAAUGUACAUUCUUUAGCUUUUCUUUGUAUUCAACUAACCCAUUUAUGAAAGAUUCUAAAAAUGACUCAUUUCUCCAGUAGUUUCUCAAAAUAGAUACUAGUUUCCGAAUGGCAUAGUAUAAAGAUAGAGUAUAUGUACGCGUUUGUGUAUGUACGGUGUUUCUUACGGGGAAAAAAGCUAUACUACCAACUGCAUUGUACAAUGCAAAUCUAACAUAAUGUAUACUGCUUAGAAAAUAUAAAUAAUUUUUCUUAUAAUUGAAUAAAUUCUUGAUGUACCCACUACUUCUUUCAUGAACCAUUUUAUGGACAAAAAAAUGCUCUAGAUAUUAUUCAUAUUAUAAAUUGUCAAAUUAUGAGCAAAAGUACAGAUUGUUGAUAACUAAUUAUAUUGUAACUUUGCAGCUAAGAAAACUAAUUAUAAAAAUUCAAUUUAAAUCGUAAAAUCGUUAUCACAAUGUAUGUGGACGUAAUAAUCAAUGAGGUUUGUAUUAGUUGCAUAAAUCAGUAUCAUUUGACAAUUUUUGUUCACUUCAAUCAUGCAACCUGCUCAUAUAAUUUUCUUAACUUAAUUUUUACAACUUUCUCAUAUAAUUUUUACAACGAUAUUAUUAAAAUGACUCCAGCUGACACCGAGGUCCGGCAUGAAAGGGAGCAACUUCACAAUCUACAAUAGAAAGUUGACAAAAUGAAUACUACGUAAGACAUUCUUUAAUUAUUUAAAGGAGCAAAAUAAAAGAGAUUAAUAUUGCUCCGCUGGUUAUUAAAUCCCCAUAAGAUGCCAAAAGAUGGCCCGAAAGACCCAACAAACGGACUUCACACCUGAGUAUAAACAUUUUUUGUGUUAAUAAAAACAACAAAACUCUUGUUAUUUUAAAGGGCAUGCACCAACCAAGUAUAUGAUUCUUACCUCAGUACGAUCACCAUACUCAUGAUAGACCUGCCCAAAAAAUUUCAAAUACCAAAUCGAUGAAGGAAAUUGGGUUGACUGAGGUAUGAGGAGGAUUCCUACUGGGACUUGUGCUUUGAACCUACUUGGGGUAAAUUUCCAGCCCUAUAUCUGCCAUGUAUAUAAGGACGAAAGGGAUUGCCCAAAAUGUCAUCGUCUAUUAUCGUAGUUCCAAAGCAUAGAGCUAUAUUGAUGAGUUUUGAUCUGUACUCGUUACUCGUAAAAUCAAUAGAAAAAACGCAUGAAGUAUGACUUUACCACCAGAGUGAGGGGCCAACCUGGGUAUAUCGUGUUCACCUAAUCUCAAGACCCCGGUAAAUCUACGUCGCUGGUAGUUCAACCCUUUGUUAACCACCUCGAUGGCAUAUGCCGUGAAGAUACCACGUCACUUUUACACGAGAAAUUCAUACACUAGGCAAAGUUGCAAAGAAUCAAGAGAAUCAACUCUAACAUGUAACCUAUUAAGAAAAAAAAAGUGUUUUUGCAGUACCCCGGUACUCCAAAAAUAUACCUCGGAGUACCAAGCAUAUCUAACCGUUGGUACCAAAGGGCAACUUAGUCAUUUUGCGGAGGGUAAUUUGGUCUUUGCCCUCGUAUUGCCCCGAUCGCUUCGUCGAGCGCAGCAGCAGUGCCGUCCCUAGCCCGUCGAUCGACCGUCAUCAUCUCCCUCCGCUCACGGGGCGGACAGCCUCUUCUCUGUGCGGUGGAAAGCGCCUCACCGCCGUUCCAAUCGAUUCGCAACGCCACACGGCCUCGCCGCCCUUCCAAUCGAGGCACCGCACGGCCUCCAGUCGUCCGCCGUCAAAUCACGGCGUAGUGCCGCCCCCGAUGCCGUUCCAAGCGAGGCGCAUCGCUGUCUCCAGCCGCCGCCGUGCUAUCGAGGCGCAGCGCCGCCUCAGCCGCCACACCACCGUUCGUCGCCCCAGCCCUCGAGCAGCUGUUCGGCCCCAAGCUGCCUCCCGUGUGAGAUCAAACCUGCUCCCAGCCGCUGCCAUCCAAUCGAGCCACCGGCCAAAACCCAACCACGCCAGCGUUCGCCGCCCCUAGGCACGAUCUCACGAUGCUGCCAGCCCAAAUCCUCACUUGAUUACGAUUUCCUUUUUUUAAUUUGAAACCAAAAUCCAGUUCAGCACACGAAAGUUCCAAACUAACCUCACGUGAUUACGAUUUUGCCCUCCAAGUCGAGGUACUCCGGUGUUUUUCGACUCGGUACUCCAUAAAAUUAAAGAUGGAGUACCAAAUAAUACUAACCACUAGAUCGGUCCAAAUAAAGGGACUAUAUUAAAUCCGGGGUAUCGUAAAAGAGCUUAAAAAAAAACUCUAACAUGUACCGUUAUUAUAUUUUCCGCACAAGAGGAUGGAUACUUCAGUUUGAAGCAGCAGCCCCGUCCACAUUGCACAUUACAGCUAGGGCAAAGAGGGAGUCUUGGGCAGAUAGCGAGGCAGCUGCUAGGCACCAAUGCCGGCCGGCCGUGCACAAUCUUUUAUUCAGAUAUCGCUGACAACAACAAGCGAAAUGCUGGCUGCCAACAUAUCUCAGCCUCUGUCCCUGUCCCCCACAGGCCAAUCUCCGAACACAGAGCCCCUUAAUUAGUUGCACUCGCACUUCACCAUCUCCAUCUUCCAUCGUCAAACCUUCGCUCGGAUCGAUAACUACCAGUUGAUCAAUCCCCGGCCAACGCCAAACCACUCUUCGAAUUUCACAUCAUCAUCGAUCGUGGUGGAGUGAGUGGAUCGUAGGCUCGUAACCAGGGAGCUACUAGCAACAUGGAAGACGCCGAGACCGGGAGAUCGCCAGGGGCGGCGCCGGCCAUGAUGACCUCGUCUUCCCCGGCGCCGGUGCCGGCCGCGUCACGGCGGUACUACGAUUGCGUGUUCUGCAAGCGCGGGUUCACCACGGCCCAGGCGCUGGGCGGCCACAUGAACGUGCACCGCCGCGACCGCCCCAAGCCGGCCGCCGCCCCCGACAUCGACGCGCCCACGGCCACGGGGUGCUACAUGGCAUACCCCUGGCCCUCGGCGCCCCCGCCGCAGCCACCGAUGAGAUGUGGCGGCAGCAGCUUCGUGCUCUCCGGGUUGCGCUGCGCAGGGAACAACGCGGAGGUGGCCGUGUGGCCUGCCGCAGCAGCUGCAGCAGGUAGCAGCCCUAGCCCGAGGCCGAGGGAGCUGAGCCUGUUCGGCGCCGACAACGACGACGACGACGGCCAUGAUGAUCACGACUUGCGACUGGGCCUUGGGUGCCAUGGGAGCGGGUUACGCUCACCGGAGGAAGGGCCAGAGCCGGAGAGGAAUAUGCUGGACUUGGAGCUCAGGCUCGGGCCUCGUCCAAGACAUUGAUCGAUCAGUCGCAUGCAUGGUAGUGCAACUUCACCUUAUAUGCACUGCAUGGUUUUUUGUUUGAUGAAUAUGCACUGCUGCAUGCUUGAUAUUGUCUGUCAGCACUUUAAUUUUGCCUGUGUAAUUAUAUGUACUGCAUUACAUGCCCUGUUAAUACGACAAUUGCAGACAAGCGUACGUAUUAUGGAUUUAUGGCUAGCUUUUUUAUAUUGUUUGUCACAGCGCUUUAGCACAAAAGUUUUACUGCACGCGGUGUCUCAUCCCGUCAUUCUAUGGACGCUUUGUUGCUGGUGUGCUAGCUAGCUACAUGAAUUGCUUUGCUGUUUGAUCUCGUUAUUUGCUAUUUUCAUCUUGUCCGGCCUGCAUGCAUGCUUGUUCUCAACCUUACUAAAUGGCAGCAAAUCUUCGAAACAAACGAAUUUCUUACAGUAGUUGUUUACUCAUUAAAUUGCUAUAUUUUCGUCUCGUCCUGCAUGCAUGCUUGUUCUCGACAGUACUAAAUGGCCACAAAUCUUUGAGAUAGAGUAUGCUACGAGAAUUGUCUUAGAUCGAAUUUCCGGGCAUAAAUACUUCAUCUUUUGGAUUCACAGAGUCAUUUCCUUUUUGACAUACUAAGUCUCUGUUGGAAUCCGGGUUUAAUUUACGGAGUCCUCGAUCCUGUUUUCAUAUAUAGACUUGCGGACUUGCCUAGCUAUAUGCACGGUUACAAACAUGGGGAUACUACUGCAGCCACAUGCCCCCAAUGCGUGCAUGUAAUGUUCAUCGCAAAAGUUGUACUUGUAUAUAUGUAUGCGAUGCAGCCGCAAGCCCGCAGUGCAUAUAUUUUUAUGUGCAAUAUCCUCCACAAGAAUUACAGAUAUACCAGUUUCAAAAAGAAUUACAGAUAUAUCAAAUAUAUAUCUAUGUUAAGGAAUUGAGCAGUACAUGUUUCUAAUAUGUAUAAGUUAGCUUCAUUUGUGUUUGCUAUGAUUGUUUGGGCUGUUUGAACCUGAACCAAACAAUCUAAAAAUGCAUAUAACUAAAUUCGGGUACAAUGUUAUCCAAGGCUAGCUUUUCAAUGUUGUAUUGCUCCGUUAUCUUCUGCAUGCAGAUUGCAUAACCCGAAACUUGUUGCUUCGUGUGAUUCUUUUUAUGAUGCAUGUCUUUGUUGUUUAUCUAAGUGGGGUCUUCUGUUUCCUUAAAACAAAUUACGAAAACUCAUUCUGGUCUAUUUUAAUACAGGGAUAAAACUUGAUAUACUUAGUUUUUGAUGGUUAUCUAGUUUUUGAUGGUACUCUCGGCUAGAAUAUGUUCCCUAUGUUUAAAAAUCUGAUUGGCUGAUGAUUUAAAUUUAGCCCUUUUUCGGAGGCACUUUAGCCUUGAAGUCCAUAUAUUCUUCUCUAUCUUGCAUAUUUAGGUAUAUGAAUCCUUAAGUGUGUAUACCGAUAGUGCUAGCUAGCCCGUAAUAUUUCAAGUAAUUUUACUGCUGGUACUUUUAUAGUUUAUUUGACCCCUCUUGUAGCAUUGUUUGAUUCUCAUCACUUGGCCCUCCAGGCUCUGUUUCCUGACUCUACGAUUGUUCCCUAUAUCUUACACACAAAAACACAUGUAAUGCUUGGUGUCAACUUCUAUGUUGGUGGAAAAUGGUUUUGGCACAUCGAUGCACGUAUGAUUUUCUGAAACUUAACCAAUUUUUUUAAGUCCUUAAGAACUAAAGAGAAAUAUUCAUGCAAGUAGGUGAUUUGGAUCUAAUAAAUUACGACCGUUUGUGCAUGUGGUGCAAAACCACAAACUGGAUUUCUGUGCAACAAACUACAUAACUUAUAGAGUUGUCUUUUGUAGAUCACUUCCUUCGUUUCUGAACACUUGUCUUUUUUGAAUUUAUCUUGGUCGAACUUUUAUUUUUAUCUCUGACUAUGAUUUUGAAGUAAUAAUCAACAUCAAAUUCAUACUAUUAAAUCUUCACAAAAUCAUGUUUAAUAAUGUAUGAUUGUUUUUCUUUGAAGCAACAUGUUUCGAAAGAAAUUAAUGUUCGCAUUAUCACAUUAGAGACCUUACCAAUACUAUACUAAAUGACAAGUAUUUUAAAACAAUGAGAGUUAAUAUUUUUUAAUUUAUAUGCAGUUUGAAAGUGAUCAAAUACUUUUUAAACCAAAAUUUAUAGACAUGAGUUUCUACCCAAAAACCUUCAUGCGUGAACCUUUUCAUAAUUUAAAAAAAUAAAAAAAGUGAUUUUUACUAAGCUACAAAAUGGGUCUCCAUGUUUUAAAAUGUAGCUUCGGUUUAUUGGUAAUAUUUUUUUGUUAUUGAUGAUCUUGUUUUUUAUUGUGUGCAUCUUAAGAUAAAGAAGCUAGCCAAGACAAGUGUUCUCUUCCGUUUCUUUUAAUUCAACGGUUUUUGUUUUGAUCAUCUUGAUUGAUAUUUGUGCUACAUCAAUGGUAGAUCGUGUUAUAUACACAUGCCUUGACGAUGGGUAUGUUUUACGCAACGAAAUUAGCAGAACACCUACCCCCGUUGGCAAAACAAAUUCUGAAAUUAUUGCCAAAGGGUUCUUUCGGGUCGACCCCAUCGGGCUUGUUUAUUUCACCAUGCACGGAUGGGUUCCGAUGAUAGCUUCUCCGUUUUGUUCCACGGCAAGACGGUAUUCGUUUCGAAAGAGUUGUUCAUCCGGAACUUAUGAUUAUGAACCCAGAAAGAAUUACCUAUGAACAAUAUCAAAUCGAUAGCCAUAUUGUCAAGGAAUAUGGUACUUUCACAACAUAUAUAGGAGUAGAAUUGAUUUUCACAAAGCAACCAAGUCUAAAAAAAAUAGAAAACUGACGGUCAAACUAUCAUAUUGGAAAAACCGCGUCAGCUCUAAAAGCAAGCACUCCACCCUAAGCUAAGCACUCGCAAAGCAUUAAUACGGCAGUUGGUCCGACUUCACACGGGCACCACAGCGACAAAGACGGCUUUCGUUUCGUUCCCAGCACCAGGAGAAGCGCACGCGGAGGCCAGAAGCCACUGGAGACUGGAGCGAGCGCCCGGCCCCGGGUUGUCAAGUGUCAACCGGGAAAAAGCCACACGAGACACACAACCCUAACGCCGAACGGAAGCCAAACCAAAGAGAGCACCGGGGAAGAGGAGCCCAGCGGACUGCGGACGGACACCGCACCAAACCAAAGCGACCAGAAAAUUCUCUCCUCCUCGCACCAGCGCUGCUCUCCUCCUCUCCCCACCGAAAUUCCCCACAUCCGCCCCGCCGUCUUCCACCCCGUCCGUCUCCCCCGCCGGCCACCGCCAUGCGCAUCCGCAGGUACGCCGCGCGCCUGCUCGCCUCCUCGAACCCGGCGUCCGCCGCCGCGUCCUCGCCCCCGCCGCAGCCCGCGGCGCCCUGGUUCCACGCCGCUGCCGAUGACUGCGCCAUCUGCGAGCGCACCCGCUGCUCCGACUCGGAGGUACCUUUCCCUGCCCCCCCUUCCCCUCUCCCUCUCGCCCCGCUCCGCAUUACUCCGCGGCGUGGCGAUGCAGGGAACCGCUUCGUUUUGCCUCGGGUUCUAACGGGACGGUUCUGUGUGUUCGGCGGAAUUGCAGGGGGCUCCCGACGGGGUGAAGCACAAGGGGCACAUUGCCAGACUCACGCCGGAGGGCGAGCUCAAGAGCGAUGAGCGCAUCGGCGUACCUCGGUCGCCUCCUGUUCCUCCGGAAGGUGCGUGCCGGUGACACGCCACUAUUCCAUGAUUCGCUUUGAUAGUUAAUUCUAACUUGCUUCUGUUCUGGUUCCGUAAGGAGAAAUGUAUAAGUUGCUAAUGUGCUAAAUCCUGUCGUCUCGCUGUUUCAGAAAUCAUUCCAGCUCACGAAUGCAAGGUAGAUGACGAACGAUCUGCGAGUAAACAUGACGCCACACUGGAAGAAGUUGAAAUUGGAGCUUCUAGUGUUAGCUCAACUCCUGUUCCUCCGGAAGGUGCGUGCCACGCUGCCAUUCUACGGAUCACUUUGAUAGCUAAAUCCUACUAACUUGCUUCUGUUCUGGUUCCUAAGGACAAAUGUAUAACUUGCUAAUGUGCAAAAUCCUGUCGUUUUGCUGUUUCAGAAAUCAUUCCGGCUCAUGGAUGCAAGAUAGAUGACGAACGAUCUGUGGGUAAACAUGACGCCGCGCUGGAAGUUGAAAUUGGAGCUUCUGGUGUUAGUUCACCUCGUGUUCCUCCGGAAGGUGUGUGCCACGCUGCCAUUCUAGGGAUCACUUUGAUAGUUAAAUCCUGCUAGCUUGCUUCUGUUCUUGUUCUGUAAAGAUAAAUGUAUAACUUGCUAAUGCACAAAAUCCUGUGGUCUCCUGUUUCAGAAAUUAUCCCAACUCAUGAAUGCAAGAUCGAUGACGAACGAUCUGCAAGUAAAGAUGGCGUCGCUCUGGAAUUUGAAAUGGGAGCUUCUGGUGCUAGUAGAGCUGCUGCGAGACCAGAUGAUAUGGGGAAAACUAUGCUUGUCAAUGAAGCCGUUACUGAGCCAGCAGAUACAGGAGGAGCUUUUAUUGUUAAUGAAGAUACUGAUGAGCAGGAAGUUGGAGGGACAACUUCUCCUGUGAAUGCCUCUGUUACUGAACAGGAGGUUACUGGGGGAGCUUCUCUUGUGAGUGACUCGUUCUCUGAGCCAGAAGUUAUACGGGGAGUUUCCUUUGCUAAUGAAGCUACUACGAAGCAAGAAGUUUCGGAGAUAGUUUCUCUCGUGAGUGAGGCUAUAACUGAGCCAGCAGCUAUAGUCACUGCAUCGGAAGUUAUAAGGGGAGCCCCCCUUGAUGGCAAAGGCGAUGCAGAGCCCGAUUUGAAAAUGAGAGCUUCUCUCGUGAAUGAGUCUGCUUGUAAAAUGGAUGUUAAGCGGGUAUCUUCCCUUGUUUUUGAAGCUGUAACUCAUGCAGCACUCCCAGAAAGUGUUUCUCUUGUGAGUGAAGUUGUCACUGAGCCAGGAGUUAAUGGAGCUGCUUUCCACGACAAUGAAGUUUCAGUGGAACCAGAAGUUGCAGGUGGACCUUCUCUUGUAGAUGAAUCUACUGAACAGGCAGUAACAGGGAAAACUUGUGCUGUCAAGGAAGUUGCUGCAGAACCAGAUGUUGUUGGCGGGGCUUCUGCUUGUAGGGGAGAUGGCAAUGCUGAUUUAAAUGAGCAACAGCCUCCUGACUAUGAUCCAGAUAUUUCCAGUGUACAGGGUGAAAGUGCAGGAGAGGGUGUCGCCAGCGAAGUGCAGCCUUCUAGAGACCAUGAAGCAGAUACCAUUCGUUCUGUAAACACCAGGAACAGUGAACCUGUUGGAGACAAGAGUCCAACUGGUGAGGAAGUAGCACCGCACGAUGACACACCCAGUGUUUCAUGUGUAUCAGAUAUUUUAGCUAGAAGCGUUGGGAAAUCAGGGAGAACUGAUAUCAUAUGUUAUGCUAGGCGCAGGGGUAAAAGGAAGCUAAAUAUUGUGGAGAUAAAGAGAAAACAAAUUAAAAUGGAUGAUGGUGCCAUCUAUGAUCAAAAGGCGGCACUGGAUAGAAUUGCUCCUCGCCUGAGUAAAAUGCCAACAGCUGGAUCUGCAGAAAUUAAACUCGCCGACAUAAAGAGAGAACUUAUAGACAAUUCAGCCUCGAGCAAGGGUAAACAGAGGAAGAUGCGACCAUUUGAAUGUGACGUUGAGUAUUGCCGCAUGACAUUCAAAAAUAAGGCCGAGCUUUCUCUCCACAAGAAGAACAUGUGCACGCUCAAGUCAUGUGGCAGACAAUUCAGAGCCCACAAGUAUCUGAAACGCCACCAGAAGAUUCACGAUUGUGAUACUCCUUACAAGUGCCCAUGGGAGGGUUGCAGUAUGGCUUUCAAGUGGACAUGGGCUCUGGCAGAGCAUUUCCAAGUUCAUACAGGAGAUAAGCCAUAUAAAUGCAAGACGCCUGGGUGUGGCCGGAUAUAUAAGUUUGUUUCGGACUUCACCCGGCAUAGGAUGAGGUGCAAACCUCAGAGGUAAAAAACUUGCUUAAUUUUGAAGAGUUAGGGUAGGAGUAAAGCUUGUGCUUGCUACUGUAGAUGGUUUUAUUAUUUGCUGGAAGUUCCUUCACUGAAUUGUUCUGAGUUCUGACAACUUAUAGUGGGAUUGUUCGUUUCUUUAUUGAAGUAAAAAUGUUACAAUCUUUAGUUUUUAGUUUAUAAACGGCGAGCAUGUGUUUCAUGAACAUUGGUGUACAUUUCCAAAAACGGAUUGAUGUUAUGCGCAUUGUUUCUUCUUUACAGUUGUGAUGUCUGUUCUUUUGUUCGUUUUUGGACUAUUAGUUCCAUGCUUAUCCAUCUAUGGAUUUACCUGCCUAAACGUUUGCACCAAACUACAAGAUAACCUGUUUAUUUUGCCUAGUUGACGACCUAAUUUGAGCCAUUUAAGGUUAUAUUCCUGGAUAUCCAACAAGCCUCCAAUCUGUUCAACCAUCAACUGUUGUAAUGGUUGCACUUCCAUUAUGAGCUUUGAAAAUCUACUGAUGUGGCUCUUUAUUUUGAAAUGAUUAUUCUGUCCAUGAAGAAAAACUACAUAAAUCAGAAAGCAAUGUAUGGUAUCAACCAAACUGUUAAUGACUGCAACUUCUGUAGAAUCCGUGCCCUUUCAUCUGGUAAAGAGCAGGCACAGGAGAUACUUAGAUUAUUAUGCGUUGAAAUGUAUAGUUAGUUUUAUUCUCUAACUGGGGUGUGUGCACUGUUUAAGCUUAUGAUACUCGAGAGUAUAAUUAGUUCUAUGACUAGUAUGUGAACUGUUUUAAGCUUUUGAUAAUUGCAGCACUUGCAAUCCACCCAUUUGUUCAUGUGUUGCCAUUUGUCUAUGUGUUGGAAACAUGCACCAAAUUUGCUUUCAAACAUUAAUUUGUUAUUUUUCUUGUUAGCAAUGUACGUAGUAGAAAUGUGCAUACUAUACGUUUUGUUUGCCUUACAAUUAUUACUUUAUUAGUGAUCUACUCUACCUGGUUUCUACAGAAAGUCAGGAAGGUAAACUUGGUGCUUUUCGUAGAUUCAGCUAGCUUGGGAAAGCAAAACCUGUUUAUUUUGCCUAGUUUUCCACUUUGCCAUUCAAAGUUACAAUGAGAAGUUAUUGGAGUUCUAAAUCUUGUCCACAGCCCUUGGAUCAAAAUUAAGGAAUUAGACUAAUAAUUUUGGGACUGUCGAAAUGAACAGUAUCAUAGAGCUGGUGUUUGUUUCAUUGGUUUAGAUAUUCGUGGAUGUCCAAUAGUAGUUGUUUGAUUGUUAACAGCUGUAAUGUUUGCACUUUCAUGACAGCUUUGAGAAUUAAAUAUCGUGGCCCUCUAAUUUAAAGUGCUUCUAUGCCCCUAAAAGAAAAACUACAUUUAUCAUAAAGCAAUGGAUGGUGGUACGAAUCAAUUGUUGCCGCAACUUCUUUUGAGUCUGUGCCCUUUCAUAUGGUGAAACACAUCUGCACAGGAGCUACAUUUAUCAUUCUCUGACUGCGCUCUGUGCACAGUUUGGCUUUUGAUACUACCUGUAGCACCACUUCCAAUCAACCGAUUUGUUCCUUGUGUUGGGGCUUGCACCAAAUUUUCUCUGACACAUACAUCUGUUCGUUUGUUAGUGAUCUAUCUGGUGCUUCCAGAGUGUCAGAAAAUGCAACUUAUAGUGCUUUGGUGGAUUUCAACUUCCUUGAAAAAUUUAAAUCCUAUGCUUGCAUCUCAGCAGUACAUGGGCACAGUGUACGAUUUCCUUUGUUGGAAAAAUAAAUAAAUAAAAGGAACGCUUUGAUUAAUACUCCCUCCAUCCAGAAAUACAAGGCCAAUUUUGGGGAUAACAAGAACCAAGGAAAAAUCCUCGUGAGUAGUGCUUGGUAGUUAUGAUUUUUGGUUUUGCCAAUGGAAGAGCUGAAUUUUCUCUUGUCGUGAGGAGCAUUUAAGUUAUGCAUGCAUGCACACCAAUCAACAAUUAUGAUAUGAGUUACGAGGAGAUUUUUGUGCUAGGGAUGCGGGAGGGAAGGUAAUAAACUAACUCAAGAAGCAAAGUGGCCUUGUAUUUUGGAAAUCUCAGAUUUGGGAUUUGGCCUUGCAUUUCUGGAUGGAGGCAGUAUAUCUCUGGCAAGAAUAUAGCUAUGUCAAGAUUAUUUCUUUUUGAGAUAAUACAUGUUGUCAUCACGAGAAACCUUAUAAAGAGGGCGUAUCAAUUGAGCUUUAGUUAGGGAGACAUGUUAUAAUGCUAGCUAGUGUCAGGAUAGGUAAAGCCGUAAAGGUAAGACAUGCGUAUAUGGCGACUAUAGGGGGGGGGGGUCAUUUUAUACUUGUGAGAGUCAGACACCGAUGUGGUUUAAUUAGGUUUGGCUGCAACUCAUCCAAUUGAGAGGGGCGUAAUCCUGCUAAGUGGCGGGACCUUGAGCAUGAUUAAGUUACUCGAUGCGGGGUAAUCUGAAAAUCCAUCGACACAUGACAAGCUUCCUUUGGGACUUCUCCCGCAGCCAAUCCUGGGAGAAAAGUUCCUAUCGUGGCCAAUCACGAGAGCCAAGAGGGAUCACUUCACGAUAUUUAUCACGUCAUCGGAAGAUCCAUUGACACUAUGCGAAGGGUAUGUCUGGUGGUGGCUAAAGUCUACCCUACCAAAAUUUUGGUCAUGACCAUAACUUUGGUCCUUGUUUGGAUGGGAGCAAGUUUUUUGGCAAGCUAUUGCCUCACUGCCAACUCUAAAUCAUUUUUCUUACCAAAACUGGCCAACCCAUGGGCACUCAAAACCUUCACCAAAAUAUUUGUUAGCCAAAUAUUUCGUAUGGCACACAUGGGCUCAAACCAAACUUACCCGAACUUCCCGGAUGACUCUUCUUUCUGGGGCCAAUUGUGACAGAAAGUUUCCUCUCUCAACCAAUCGCGGGAGGGACUCUUUGUUCCGUUUGACCUUAUUCUUCUAUUCUUCUAUCUUUCUUCUGCUGGUAGCAUUUGGGUUUGGGUAUCACUGUGGGAUAGCAGCCCCCCAUCGAAGCCAAUUUUCUCUCUUACAACAGAAGCCCCCUUGACCUGUAGGUGCGUUGAUGAUGAACACCGUGUGAGUAAAGGUUAUGUGGGACUGGAAGUUGCAAGAGGAGCUUCUGUUGUUAAUGGAGACACCAGAUGAUACAGAGGAAACUACGCUUUGACGUAAAGACGCUACUGAGCCGGCAGUUCCAGGAGGAGCUUUUAUUGUUAAUGAAGAUACUGAUGAGCAGGAAGUUGGAGGGAUAACUUUUUGUUUGAAAGGCUCUGUGACUGAACUGGAGGUUACUAGGGGAAGCUUCUCUUGUGAAUGGCUCUGUCACUGAACUGGAGGUUACUGGGGUAGCUUCUGGCGUGAGCGGAUUGUUUGCUAAGCCAGAAGUUAUAAGGGGAGUUUCUCUUGCUAAUGAAGCUGCUACUCAGUGAGAAGUUCCAGGGUGAGUUUCUCUUGUGAGUGAGUCUACAACUGGGCCAACAGCUAUACUCACUGCAUUGGAAGUUACAAUGGGAGCUCCCCUUGAUGACGAAGUAGCUGCAGAGCCGAAUAUUAAAUGGUAGCAUCUCUUAUGAAUGAAUCUGCUGCUAAAAUGGAUGUGAAAUGGACAGCUUCCCUUUUUUUGAAGCUAUGACUCAUCCAGGACUUGCAGACAGAGUUCCUCCUUGGAGUGAAGUUGUCACUGAGCCAGGACUUCUCACUGUCACAGGUGGACCUUCAUUUACUGAACUAGAAAUUACAUGGGAAUCUUAUACUGCUAAGGAAGUUGCUGGCAUGGCUUCUUCUUGUAGUGGAGAUGGUGAUCCUGAUUUAAAUGGGCCACAGCCUCUGGAUUUUGUUCCAAACAAUUGCUAAUGUGCAGGUUGAAAAUGCAGGAGAGGGUGUUGCCAGCAAAAUGCAGCCGCCUUACAGGACCAUGCAGUUGACGCUAUUGGUUCUGUAGAUACCACGAACAGUGAUCCUGUUAAAGACAAGAGUCUAACUGGUGAGGAAAUAGCACGCUCAGUGUUUGUCUGUAUCAAAUAUUUUGCUACAAGCGUUGGUCAAUCAGAGAUAACUGAUAUGAUAUUAUAUUUUAUGCUAGGCGCAGAGGUAAGAGGAAACUGAAUAUUGUGGAGAUAAAGUCAGAAACAAAUUGGAAUGGAUGAUGGUGCCAUGAUGCCAUCUAUGAUCAAUGUGAGGAAAAGGCGGUGCUGUACAGGAUUGCUCCUUGCAUGAGAGCAUUGUCAAAAGCUGAACCUGCAAAAAUUAAACUUGUGGACAUAAAGAGUGAAUUUAUAGACAAAAUUCAAUUCAACUUCAAGCAAGGGUAAAAAAGAGGAAGAUGCAACAAUUUGAAUGUGACAUAGAAUACUGCUGCAUGACAUUCAAUAAAAAAGCCGAAGUUUGUCUGCACACAAAGAACAUGUGCACUGUCAAGUCAUGUGGUAGACAAUUCAGGACCAAUAGGUAUCUGAGAGACAAAUCACAAUGAUGACACGUCUUACAAGUGCGCAUGGGAUGGUUGCAGUAUGGCUUUCAAGGAAACAGGGGCUCUUGCUGAGCAUUUCCAAGUUCAUACAGGGAAAGACUAUAAAUGCAGGAUGUCUGGGUGUGGCAAGAUAUAUACGUAUGUUUCGUUCACCCGGCAUAGGAUGAGGUGCAAACCUCAGAGGUAAAAUCUUUCUGAAUUUUUCAGAGCAAGGGUAGGAGCAAAGCUUGUGUUUGCUUUUGUAUAUGGUUUUAUUAUUUGCUGAAGUUAUUGUGUUCAAUUGUUCUGAGUUCUGACGACUUAUGGUGAGAUUGUUCGUUUCUUUACUGAAGAAAAUGGUUAAUAAUGCUUUUCUUGAAUGUCGGUGUAACAUUUCCAGAAGCUGAUUGAUAAAUAUCCCUAUUGUUUGUUCUUUAAGGUAGUGAAUGGUGAUAUUUGCUCUACACAGUGAAUGAUAUAUCAAAUACAGGACUAGUAAAUACGAAGCUGAUUUUUACUUGGUUCAGGAAUAUUAUUUCCAUGCAUAUCCAUUUAUGGAUUUACCUGCCUAAACAUUUGGAGCAAAAUACAGGAUAUCCUAUUUAUUUUACCUAGUUUCAACUUAAUUUGAGCCAUUCUAAGGUCAUACUCCUGAAUAUUCUUUUGCGUUUUCUUGAGAUUUUGUUUUCCUGAAUAUCCAAUUAGCCUGGACAUUGUUCAACACUGCUGUAAUGUUUGCACUUUCAUGACGAUCUUUACUCAAAUAGUGUGGCCCUUUAUUUUUUAAUGCUUAUUCCGUCCUCGAAGAAAAAACUACAUAGAUAAGAAAGCAUUGGAUGGUAUCAACAUUAAUAGUAACUUCUUCUGAACCUGUGCCCUUUCAUAUGCUAAAGAACAGCUGCACAGGAGCUACUUAGAUUAUUAUCCAUUUAGGUGUAGUAUAAAGAAAGGCAUACAUGCUUGAUGCUUAUAGUUUAUUUCUAGUUCCAUUCCUUUUCUGCAUGCAGAGCGAAUACAGAUAAAAUUUCACAAAAUUUAUUGCAUCUAGAUUUUUUUUUAAUUUAAUGAAAACUAAGAAGUAUGCUUUUCAGAACAAAGCUACAGUAGAAUAUACAACGUAGAAAACACAAGAAACCACACAAUUGUUUGCAGAGGUUAAAAGCUAUGCGCAACAAUCAGGUGAUACACAAAGAUCCAGGGUUAAAAAUAGGGACAGCCCGACUACUUCUUUAUUAUAGGUCUCUCUUGAAGGGACGAACCCUAGAUGCAUAUGAGAGCGAGACCAGCACCAGUAUAGGCGUUCACACACAAUGACACAAAUCAAUAGUCAUAAGCAUGAAGGAACAAACCGAGUUGAAUCAGGAUCGGGAGGAUGUAGGCCAACCUGGCCAGAUCCCUACAAAGUACAACCAAUCUUUUUCCCGGAAAGGAGGUAUGGCCCUUGUCCUCUGCAUCGAUUGGUUCACGUAAUCAUAUUCAACCAAAUUUGAUAAAACAAAAACGACUUUUUUUUCUUGGCUGAAACCUUUUGAUGCUCACUGAAAUUACCAUAAUUUUAGAAGUGCCAGUGGAAUUUCAGCUGAGAACCCGAUUAUAAUUCAAGCAGAGCUCUGUGAGAAGUGGCUUUGGAAGAACAGAUGCUGGGUUCUUCAUACAUGUAUGGAACAUAACAGACAUCACCAAUUCAAUGGAUCGAAGCGUAAAUGAGGAUCCUCCUGCUGUUUUUGUCUAAAUCUAUCUGAUUGAAGUGCAUAUGAAUAGUAUGUGCAAUGGUUGUGUGCAUCCAAAGAGAUUGAAUUUCUUCUUCUUCAUUUCUAAAAAAUGAAAGAUGUCUGAAAUUCUAGUUCCAGAAGUACAUCGGUCCACACUCAGAGCCUCUGCUACUCAUGAUGAGGCACACAAACAGCUAGAAGUAAGAUCAAUGUCUUUGAAUUUUGCUCAUCAUCUAAGAAAUACAUUUACUUCGUGAGAAAUAGUAUCCUCAGGAAUCAUAUUUCUUUAUCCAUCUACCAGUGUAAGAGAAGUGAAGAAAAAAAAACUACAACAUAUGCAUACCAUUGUAUAUUCAUAUUCGAAACUGUUUGUGUUACUCAGACAACAGUAAAUUUCCGGAUACAUGUAUAUAUAUAGGACUUCUAUGGAAUUCUUCCUAGCUGCUAUCUAAUGAACACAUGCUUUCUAGGAAGGCCACGUGUCCCAUUUCAUAACUACAUAGAGUCGUAGACCCUAGCUGAAGGUGUAGAUUCAGCACCCACCAAUCGUGUAAUCCAUGCCUCCAUGCUUUUAAGAGAGGCAAUCUGAGAUUUUGCUUUUCUUUUCUUGAUUGCUCUAGAUGAACUUCCUCAAUUCAUGCAGGAGGUUGGUAGUAGAGCCAACUCCCUGUAAUCUUUACGUAUACUCCAUAGGAUCUCGGCACACCGUCUCAUGCUCGGUCUGUUCCUCUUUUUGGGUGCUAAGCACUGCAAUGCCAGCUCGUAUAUCUUCUCGACUGCUAGGUUAAUUGCAUCGGUCGCUUCCAGGUUUGGAUCCAGCGUUAAUAUCGCAUCCCCCUCAGCAAAUUUUUCCAUUGCCUGUGCCAACCAUAAAUGGACAUGCGUAGCAAAGCCAAAGAUAUAGCAAAUUGUCAAUAUAGCUGCAUAAAUCUUUAUUUCACGGGAUGUAGGAAACCCCUGAAGAUAUAAAGAUAAUGAUAGGAUCAUAAGGAUGACAAAAACUAACCCAUUUUGCAGUGACACGUUCAAUGAUGGUCCUCUUUGGAUCUAUGGGGCGCCUCCCAGUAACCAACUCCACCAGCAGCACCCCAAAGGAGUAGACAUCACUCUUCUCAGUGAGCUGGUAUGUUCUAAGAUAUUCUGGGUCAAGAUAACCUGCUGUUCCUUUCACUUGAGUAGAGACAUGGGUAGCAUCACUAGGAGCCAGUUUGGCGAAUCCAAAGUCAGCAACCUUAGCCCGGCAAUUGUUCGUGAGAAGAAUGUUCGAGGAUUUGAUGUCCCUGUGGAUGACCGGCUGAUCUGCAUGGGUGAGAUAUAUGGGUCAGAAUCUAAUUGAUAGUGAUUUGGUGGUUCUUCAAAACUCAAGAGUCAGUGAUUCACACUCCAGUAUAGCUAUGUCAAACAAAUGCAUAUGCUCCAGCAUCUGCGGAUUUUCUGGCAGCGCCAUUGUUCAUAGUUUCCCUUUUUGAAUCGAGAUAUUUAACCCUUUUUCUUGCAGUCCAGACUAUAGUUCCUGUUAUGACGAGUCUCCUGUCACCAAUAUAGUUCUAGUCAAUUUGGUUUGGAGAGUUGAAUCCCAGUUAAUGUAGGCUUAUUCUUAACAGUACUAGGAAAUAUCCUAGGCCUGGGUUGUUGUGAUAACAGUUCCACAAAUGUUCAACACAGGUUUUAGCUAUGUCUUCCUUGUCAGAUUAAGCAAACAACACAUAACCACAGUAUGUUUUUUUCUUAAGGAUUCUGCAUAAACAUGUCUGACCUAAAUAAAAGAAGUGCUACAUUAAAUUCUUAGUGACAUUGCACUAGUGUUAUCUUUCGGGGUUACAAAGAAGUAUUAACUAUCACUCUACCAGAAGUUUCAGGGACCAUGGCCGAAACUUUUCAGGUGCAAGAACAAAACCACCGAAAUAUGACAAAAUUUGUCGAAAUAACCUGACAAAUUUGAAAGCAAAUUCAAGUGAAAACACAUAUAAGAAAUAUAGAUAUUACCAGAGUAGGUGUGAAGAUACGUAAUAGCGUGAGCCACGUCAAUUGCAAUUUCCAAUCUCACAGAAAACUCUAGAAAUUUUCCAUUUAGACCUGCAGAUGUCUAAACUCAUUAAGAUAUAAUUAGCAAAAAAAAUUGCAAUUCUCUUACAAAGGAGGAACAGGGAAGACCAUAGGAUCCUUACCUUCCAGAUGUUCUCGAAGAUUGCCAUUGGGAACAUACUCCACAAUGAUCAACUGCUCACCACCAUACUCAAGGAACCCAUGAAACCUAACCAAAUUCAGGUGUUCAAUGCAUCGCAAUGUCUCUAUCUCGUUCCGGAACUCGUGACCCAUGUGCUUGUCAUACAAAUUCUGGAAUGAAAGGAAAUCAACACAGACCUGUAAGAAUCACCAGAUUAUGCAAAGUGAACAUAAGAAGUAACAAGUACAAACCUUCUUAGCCCGUUUGACAGCAACGAGGGUGCCAUCACUGAGCUGACCUCUGUAUACUGUCCCAGAACCACCCUGCCCAAUCUUCAGGUUGGGCGAGAAGUUCUUUGUUGCUUUCUGGAUCUCUGGCAAUGAGAACUUUCUGUCUCCAGGUAUCUCCCUUUCUGAAGAAUUCCUAUGAAUGGGGCCAUACAGUCCUCUAGUUGAUCUCUUGCUCUCAAAAGUGCUUCCACUGCUAGAACCUUGAGAGCUUAUGGACUGCGAGACUGUAAAUUUAGAAGAAGUGUCAUAUCUGAACUUGCCAGAAAACAUAAUGAUGAUUCUUGCAGCAAAGAGUUAUUUUAUACUGCCUCCGUUUCUAAAUUAAGGUGUUCUAGUUUUGUCACAAGUUAAACUUAGACCAAAUUUAUAGAAAAAUAUACUAAUAUCUACGGUAUCAAAAUAUCAAAUAAGUAUACUAUGAGUCUAUGAAGAUAUAUCAUGAAGGAUUUAAUAAACCUAAUUCAGAUUUGUAGAUCUUUUGGUAGCUUUUUCUAUAAACUUGGUCAAACUAGGACAAAGCUAGAACAGGGGAGUACUAUCGAGUGAAUCUGACAGUACAGAUUCCAGGAUGUGUCACUGGGGCAUUAUUAUCAGUAAUAUGAACCCUUGAUAUUCUCCACCAAACAGAUAACGAAUUAAUACCUUCUGACGGUGUUUGUUUACAGUACAGUAACUCUUUUUUUUUAAUUACCAAGAUGGGUUGGUUCUGACCAUGAUCAAAUGGGGACAAAUGGAGUAGAAACAGAUAUAAAAACCAUAAAAGUACAAACUGAACGAGGAUGUCACAGACGUCUGAUUAAACUAAAGCUCAAGAGGAGAAUGCGACAUUUUUCUGCAGACAUGCUACAAACCACGAAGAAAGCUAAUCUAAGACCAGAAACCAAACCAUGUAAUUAACGAAAUACUUACAUCACACGGUGGCUCUUUUUCCAGCAGUGGUACACUAACUUACAGUAGAUAGCACUACAAAGAUUGCACGCGUUGACCAGGCAGAGUUGACGAACAACAUACAGUAGUUUUUUUUCUUUUUCUUUGAAGGACUAGUUUGGACGAGAAAAAUACAGCACGCAUCUUGGAUCAAAAGGGGCACUGCAAAAGCAGUAGAAGAAAUGGAGUAGACAAGAAGGCGUAAUUAACAUGCGCACGUACGUUGGCGGGAGGGGUGGAAGUCCUCGGACAAGGAGGUAUCCGGCGAGCGGGCCUCCGCGGGGGAGAAGCAGGACCGGAAGGCGUCGAGGAAGGCCGCCCCGCGGCCGCCGUUGGCGGAGCGCUCGGAGGCGGCGGGGGCGGAGGAAGAGGACGACGCCGCGGUGGCGACGGAGAAGCGGGACAGGUCGCCGCUGCUGGCGCGGCCGCCGUGGUAGUCGCUCGUCCGCCUCCUCCUCCCCCCGCCGCUGCUGGUGCUGCUGCUGCUCCUCAUCGCCCGCGGCAGGCGGCAGGGCCCCGAAAUCGAUCGCGUGGCGAGGCGGCAGCCGCGUGCGCGAAACGGGAUUGCGGGACUUGGUUCUGCUGCUGCUGGUGGUGCUGUGGAAAGCGGCGGUUUUGAUGACACGAUCGGGACGGGGAAGGAAGGAAGGAGAAGCCGAGAAGGGUUAGUUUAAUUCUUCUUCUCCGAGCGCGUGUUGAGGGCGUCAGGGUGGACUGGUUCAGGACUCUGGACUUCGCGUUGAGUGCAGCUGCAGUGCAAAAGGGCCCGCAAAGACUAAAGAGAGAGCCGAUUGAAUUAUUACACGUGGUUGGAAAUUUUUGAACAUCUUUCCAAAAAAAAAAAAUCUACUCCAAAUUUUGUAUAUUUGAUACUGUAGUAGAUAAAAGUGGACUAUUACUACUUAUUUGAUACUGGAGUAUAUUGUAUCGUGAACAAAGUUCAUCUUAAAAAAACAUGUAUGAUCAUUUACGCACUCUGUAAAAAAAGACAAGUGUUGUUGGUGCUAUCGUUGUCUUGCCUGUCAGCACCCGGUUCACCAGAAGGUAGGACAAGCAUUGCCGUGCGGAACAGGGAAGAGAGACGCCGGAGUAGUGCCAAAGUCAAGUCGACCAUUUUUGGUUCUUGAUUCAUUCGUUCAACCGACACGCGCCUUACCUUACCCUUCACCGUCCUGCAAUGGCAGGUGGGCCGACUCCAGCGUCAUGGGGCGGCAAUUCAAGUUGCAGCAAGCGUGGGUCAGACCAGAGACCAGACUGCAGGCAGCUAGAGAAGCGAUCGACCGGUGAGUGAGUGGUCGCCGGUCAACAGCAAGUCGGCAGCGACCGGCGAGGCCACACACGCGUCCUUCUUCGCUCCGUUAAAGAUCAAACGACCAUCAUCAUCGUGGUGCCUUCGCGAAAAUUCCUCCGUCGUGGCAGCGCAAAUAUCGCCGUUGCAUUGUUCAUUCUCUCUUCCCUGCGUGCAUGGUGCUGACCGAACGGAUGAAGUCGCGGUGGCCAGGCAGGCCACUGUGGCAACUCGACACGACAACGGCAUGGUCGCGGCCAUGCCAAGUCGUGCCGCGUGCCCGCGUGGGGGCAUCGUCACUGAGGCCGCCGCCGGCCCAAGGACGCAAGCAAUGAUUCGGGACUGAGUACAGGCUAGUGGCAAUACAGAAUUACCAAGGGUUGGACCGCACUACUGUGCGUGUAUAAAUAGCUGCUGACAAUGGUAGUUUAUCAGAACACGAAUGUACAAGGUGCAAUAACCACCGUCCGAUGUCUUUUUAGAUAGGACUAUCGCUAUGCCAUUUCUCAAUCCAUCAUGGAGUACGGUUCCGACUAAUCUUUUCAGAACUUGAAUGAACAGAUUGUGUUGAUCACCGACAAUCGUUAACAACAUUCACCCAUAUACUCACUGCAUAGUAGGGUACCAUCUGGAGCAUUUAUUGAAAAGGCAAAAAACCUGUUUCAAUUCAUCAACUACUCCCUCCGUUUCAUAUUAAAUGACUCAAAUUUGCCCAAAUAUGAAUGUAUCUACGCCCAAAAGGCAUCUAUGGGACGGAGGAAGUACGAUUUUAAAACACAUACUCCCUCAAUCCCAUAUUAAGUGUCAAAACAUUACAUGUAUCUAGACGCUUUUUAGGUAUAGAUACAUCCAUAAUUGAACAAUUUUGAGACACUUAAUAUGAGAUGGAGAGAGUACAAGAAGCACAAAGAUAUUGUUAAUCAAAUAUUUUUAACAUGCCGUCGCUAUUUGUCGCACUUUGGUUUAUUUUUGUUGUCAAUGCUGACUAACUCAUGACAAGCAAAAAAUCUUGGCAAAAUUUUCGCUACAGUUUUUUUUGUGGGACAAAACAUGCUGAAAUCAGGUUACAAAAUACGAUAGCUGGUUUGGCACCCAUCAUUUGGAUAUAGAAUUGUAGAAUUCAUUUUGAAUUCCAAAAAAUAAGAAUUAGCUACAGGAAUUAAUCACAAAUUUCAUGAAAUCACACUAUAACUAGUCUCAAUUUCUCUCCAAACACAAUCAUUUCUUUAGAAUUGUCUCUCACUCUUUAAUUCCAUGAGGUAGACAAACAUGAUUUUUCAACCCGAAAUUCAAGUUCAACCAAUGAAAUCAUAUCAAAAAAUUGUUCAUUUCAUUUUGAUCAAUGAAAUGAAUUCUUAGGUGUCCAACGAGCCGUAAGUUUUCUUGUGUUUCUUUGAUGUUACCGUUUGGACUGCUUUUUUGAGAAGCUUGCUGGAAGCCUCGAACUGCUGUCAAAAAAAAGAAAAAAAAAAGAGAGAAGCUUGCUGGAACCAGGAUUAUUUUUUGGCCUUCUGCUCUACCCUAACCCCAUUUCCCUCUUUCCCCCGUUCGGCCGUUCCCAUCGCGAGCGACUGGAGACUCGAGUGAGCUAGUGUUCGCCGCAGCGUGCGUCCCCGGCGGCCGCUCCCUCCCCUCCCUUCUCGCGCCUCGCAGCCCCUCAAGUAGCUACCCGCCUCUCCUGCAAGUCCCGGGCCGACCAGCACCGCUCUCUCGCCGCCUCCCCACGCCGCCCCUCGCCGUCGGACUGCAUCUCCGCCGGGCCCCCAUCUCCAGAUCCGCGCGUCCCCAACCUCCCUCCGCCAGCCGCCGCCGUCGGGACCCCGACAUCCAGCCGUGGCCGUCGGGAACUUUCGCUAACCAAAAUCCAAAAUCAGUCCAUCCGAUCUCCAACCUACUUCCCAACUAGACCUUGGGCUUUGACCAGUCCCGGCGUAUCCAUCUCCCACCCGAGAAACCCUAACCAGAGGAGAGGAGACCAUGAGGGGGAAGAAACCGCUCAAGGAGCUCAAGCUCUCUGUGCCGGCGCAGGAGACAUCCGUCGAUAAAUUUCUGUAGGUCUCCUCGAUUCCUUAGCCUAAAUUGUCUGUUUAUGACCUGUUUGCCUCUUUUCCCCCAUAGAAGCUAUCGAGGGGUUGAGCUUUUAAUACGUUUAUUGUGUGUCUAGACAUGUUUCGGAGAUAAUAUUGUUUCGUUCCUGGCCUAGAUGGAUUCUUUUCUAUGCCAUCUUACAUUGGUUUUGUUGGUAUAGUUUUGAAUUGUGAUGGAGCUCGUAAGCCCAUCAGUCCUUUGCUGGAGCAUAGCUUUACUUAGGAUGUAUUCAAGUCUACUGCUUAAUUUGAACCUGGUAUGUUUGAGUUGCUGAGCCGACUCUACAAUUUGUGUGUCGACGCAUGAGUGAUCCAGCUGCUAUUUGUGGUUCCUGAUCAUGCAUUAUUUUGUUUAAGUUCCAUCGUGGAUUCGACCUUUUUUUGUCAGUAGUAAUGCGUAAACGGAAUCAUUGUCUUUGACCACUGGUGAUCUUUCAGGACGGCGAGUGGCACAUUCAAGGAUGGAGAACUGCGACUUAAUCAAAGAGGUUUGCGGCUGAUCUCCGAGGAGGAAAACGGAGAUGAACAUGUGAGUUCUUGGUUCAGUACUCUGUUAGUCUGCUUACUAAUGAUUACUUUUGUUGUUUGUUAGCCAGUCCAAUUAUGUUACUGUUGUAUUGUACUUUGACUGUUACGUGGCAUUCAACCAGCCAUACAUUGAUUCGGCGCACUCAGAGGGGCAAAAAACGUUUUUCUAAGAUUUUGAUUGUACUCAUACAUGUACUACUAUACAUUUAACAUAAUUGGACAUAAGUUGUUUCUGGAAUCUGAUUGCAUCUUGAUUUGUUUAUUCUCCCAGCAAUCAACAAACAUGAAGGUGGAAGAUGUGCAGUUGUCAAUGGAUGACCUCGAGAUGAUUCAAGUCAUUGGUAAGGGAAGUGGUGGCGUCGUCCAACUCGUGCAGCACAAGUGGGUGGGCACAUUUUAUGCGUUGAAGGUAAAAGUGCACCAAAUCCAUCUAGUGGAUACAAAUGCCUAAGAUGAAUUUUUUGUUGUUGACGUUAGAGCAUUGCAGUAGAAGGGGAGCCUUGGCGCAGCGGUACAGCUGUUGCCUUGUGACCAUGAGGUCACGGGUUCGAGUCCUGGAAACAGCCUCUUGCAGAAAUGCAGGGAAAGGCUGCGUACAAAAGACCCAAAGUGGUCGGACCCUUCCCCGGACCCUGCGCAAGCGGGAGCUACAUGCACCGGGCUGCCCCUUUUUUUGACGUUAGAGCAUUGCAGUAGACUGCUAGUUUUCUCCUUCAUGGUACUGAUUAUAUACAUAUCCGUUUUUUCAUGUUUGUUAAUCAAUCUUCUUAUAUCUGUUUAAAUGAAUUCACUAGAUGUUGUAUGUUAUGACAAUCAGAUUAUUCUAUGUCUGAAGACUUAGUUGUUUUGUUUAGUCAGCUUUGUGAUGGCAUGGUAUGAUCAUAGUAUAUUCAAUUAAGUCCACACUGAUGCACACAUGAAAAUGUGAUGUAGCAAAAGCAUCUAGUACUGGCUGGUCUUUACCUGCAAAAUCUAUACGAAACACUAUUUUUAUGAAAACUGAAGCUAAUGAAUGAGAAUACAUCAGGUGACAAUAUUUAGGCGCUUAGAGCCUUGAACAUUUUUAGGCGUCUUUGUACUGCAGUUGCAUUUGAUCGGCCAUAUGAUCUAUCAGUUAAUUGACUAACAUUGCAAUUUCUUCAUAGGGCAUUCAAAUGAACAUUCAGGAGGCAGUUCGCAAACAAAUAGUACAGGAGCUCAAAAUAAAUCAAGCAACACAGAGCCCACAUAUAGUUUCUUGCCAUCAAUCGUUUUACCACAAUGGUGUAAUAUAUCUUGUUCUAGAAUACAUGGAUCGUGGAUCUCUUGCAGACAUAAUUAAACAAGUUAAAACCAUUCUGGAGCCAUACCUCGCAGUACUUUGCAAGCAGGUAUGCAUAUGCUUGGCCUAUGGUUUCUGAGUUUACUUCUGUAUUCAGAAUAAUCUCACAUAUGUUGGAAGUUGAAUCUACAUAAUCUGGCACAUCUAACAUCAGCGGUGUCUUGAUAAAUCAGGUUUUGGAGGGUCUUCUAUAUCUGCAUCAUGAAAGGCAUGUGAUUCACAGGGACAUAAAGCCAUCUAACUUGUUAGUCAAUCAUAAAGGUGAAGUAAAGAUUACUGAUUUUGGGGUAAGUGCAGUGCUAGCAAGUUCGAUUGGCCAGCGUGAUACAUUUGUUGGAACCUACAACUACAUGGCGGUAUGUAAAAAAUCUCCUUUGUCUUCUAACUGCUAGCUUAUGCUUAUAGUGGUUAUCUGGGGUGCAUAAAUUUGCUGUCAUAGUUUUCUACAUUUCUUCCUUGUGCAGCCUGAGCGGAUAAGUGGCAGCUCCUAUGACUACAAGAGUGACGUAUGGAGUUUGGGCUUAGUAAUACUUGAAUGUGCCAUUGGCCGCUUCCCCUAUACUCCUUCAGAAGGAGAAGGUUGGCUAAGCUUCUAUGAACUAUUAGAAGCAAUUGUUGACCAGCCACCACCUGGUGCACCUGCAGAUCAGUUCUCUCCAGAAUUCUGCUCAUUUAUCUCUGCCUGGUAUGCUAAACAUUAUUCUCCAAAAUUACACACGAAAUUAGCUCACCUACUGCAUUCCUGCUUAUUUUCUUGCUUAGUAAAUUUGAAUGAACCUCUUGCCCUGUUUGUGUGUCCUUGUUGGUAAGGUUAACUUUUAAAGAAGCUAGGAACAAUGAGCUGCAACUAUUUUAAAUUGUUGGUAUGGUUAACUUGUUUUAAUAUGUACCUGCUUCCUUGUUUGUCACAGCUCAUGGACUUUGUGUAUUUAAGUUUCAUUUUCAUCUUUGAACAAUUGUGUGUUUCAAUAGAACUGUUUGAGCAUGAUCAUUUGAGCUUCAUUAAUUGUGGAGAAUAACUGUGCUAGGGUCCAUUUUAUGCUAUUGUGUACCACUUCGUUAGUUCCAUAUAGACCUUUUUGGCCAUAUGCAACAUAAGCAAGACAAGCUAUUUCGUUCCAUUGUGAGCAGACUUCUAUGUUCAUGUAGCAUGCAUGGCAAAAGUGCAUGUUCUCAUCCUUGCUGAUAACGGAGAGCUGUUUCUGCUCUCCACAGUGGGCAAGAACUUUUGGGCAGGUUUUAGCUAGAGUACCUUGCAACUAAAUGGAUCCCAUGCUAAGCAUGGGUAGAAACCCUGUUUCCAUGGAUCCAAAUGUUCCCUUCUACAUUUUCGAGUUGAAAUUACUGCUUUCAGUUGCAAUUAGUCAUCAAAGGUCAGAGUAGGUUUAAGUCAGGAAUCAGUAAAAGUGCUCGAUCACAUGCUUGUUGAAAUUUCAACUAAAAAAAAAAGAGCAACAGGGCCGUGUCUCAGAUCCGUGUUUCAGACGACUCGGGACUUGACAAGUUGGCUACGUCUUGAAAUCUUAUUCAUAUUGUUUUCACCUGUCAAAUCAUUUUGAUUUUUUGAGAUCUCUGAACCUUAUACGCAACCUGAAGUUGUCAUAAUUUAGUUUAUUUCAUUUUGAAAUUGGAAAGUUGUCAUGAUUUAUUAUUUCUAUAUUUCACAAAUUCUUUUUCGUUGCCACCAUAAAAAUAUAUUCAAAACCAAUAUAUUUGCAGUUAAAAAGGAAACAUAUGAAUUGAGGUUUCUUUUAGACAUUUUCCAUUUCAUUACAACCCAAGAAAUUUCAGCCCUCCCAAACAGAUUGACUCCCUUCUCCAGAUAGCAGUUGCUAAGGGCAACCUGCCACUAAAUAUAUUGUAUUGUUUUGAGUAGCUCGUUGGCUAUUGAAACUUCAGGCAGUUUAACUAUACUGUUUCAUGAAAAUCAAUUGUGUAACUACCCUGAUCUUGAGAUUUCAUGGCAAAAGGUACUUAUUAAUUUAAGUUAGCUGUGCCAAUAUCUAAAUUCUUUCCCAGAUUGAUAGUGCUAUGACUGAGGUUAUGACUCAAAUAAUAAUGCAGUACACAUUAUGCAUUUACUCAGUGAUUCUUCAUUUCUCAGUCCU